GCUCUCGUGACGGAAUAGGUAUACGUGCUGGUUCGAGAAGCCAGAUUUUACAAGUUCAAAUCUUGUCGGGAGCA
RNAcentral lists this transfer RNA (74 nucleotides) under Cyanobacteria bacterium UBA11371. RNAcentral's name for it is "tRNA-Leu". It matches the Rfam family "tRNA". From Rfam's summary of the family: Transfer RNA (tRNA) molecules are approximately 80 nucleotides in length. Their secondary structure includes four short double-helical elements and three loops (D, anti-codon, and T loops). Lineage: Bacteria; Bacillati; Cyanobacteriota. The record is from RNAcentral.